GGUGGCUCAAUAGUAGAGUGCUUGCCUUGCAUGCAUGAGGCCUUGGGUUCGAUUCCUCAGCACCA
This 65-nucleotide transfer RNA is filed under the name Dipodomys ordii (Ord's kangaroo rat). It matches the Rfam family "tRNA". Rfam says of the family: Transfer RNA (tRNA) molecules are approximately 80 nucleotides in length. Lineage: Eukaryota; Metazoa; Chordata; Mammalia; Rodentia; Heteromyidae. The record is from Rfam by way of RNAcentral.